RNAcentral lists this ribosomal RNA (544 nucleotides) under uncultured archaeon. RNAcentral describes it as "bacterial SSU rRNA". It matches the Rfam family "Archaeal small subunit ribosomal RNA", at positions 330 to 879 of the family's 1478-position model. The record is from RNAcentral.
GUGCAGCAGGCGCGAAACCUCCGCAAUGCGGGAAACCGUGACGGGGCCACCCCGAGUGCCCCCUUACGGGGGCUUUUCCCCGCUGUAGGAAGGCGGGGGAAUAAGCGGGGGGCAAGUCUGGUGUCAGCCGCCGCGGUAAUACCAGCCCCGCGAGUGGUCGGGACGAUUAUUGGGCCUAAAGCGCCCGUAGCCGGCCCGGCAAGUCCCCUCCUAAAUUCCCGGGCCCAACCCGGGGACUGGAGGGGAUACUGCCGGGCUAGGGGGUGGGAGAGGCCGAGGGUACUCCCGGGGUAGGGGCGAAAUCCUAUAAUCCCGGGAGGACCACCAGUGGCGAAGGCGCUCGGCUGGAACACGCCCGACGGUGAGGGGCGAAAGCCGGGGGAGCGAACCGGAUUAGAUACCCGGGUAGUCCCGGCUGUAAACGAUGCGGGCUAGGUGUUGGGUGGGCUUAGAGCCCACCCAGUGCCGCAGGGAAGCCGUUAAGCCCGCCGCCUGGGGAGUACGGCCGCAAGGCUGAAACUCAAAGGAAUUGGCGGGGGAGCAC